This 188-nucleotide microRNA precursor is filed under the name Oryza punctata. RNAcentral describes it as "MIR812 microRNA precursor family". It matches the Rfam family "MIR812 microRNA precursor family". Lineage: Eukaryota; Viridiplantae; Streptophyta; Magnoliopsida; Poales; Poaceae. The record is from Rfam by way of RNAcentral.
AAAGAGUGCACUUUUACACUAUUCAUGUCCGACCGUUCGUUUUAUUUAAAAAAGUUUUAUGAUUAGUAUUUUUUAUUGUUAUUAGAUAAUAAAACAUGAACAAUUAUGUGUGACUAUUCUUUUAUAAAUUUUUCAAAAUAAAAUAGACGGUCAAACGUUGGAUACAGAUAUCCACGACUGCACUUAAA